This 93-nucleotide transfer RNA is filed under the name Malassezia restricta. RNAcentral's name for it is "tRNA-Tyr". It matches the Rfam family "tRNA". Rfam says of the family: Transfer RNA (tRNA) molecules are approximately 80 nucleotides in length. The record is from RNAcentral. Lineage: Eukaryota; Fungi; Basidiomycota; Malasseziomycetes; Malasseziales; Malasseziaceae.
CCCAGCCAUAGCUCAGCUGGAAGAGCGAAGGUUUGUAAUUGGAAAUCGGUCUUUGACCACCUUAGGUCCCGUGUUCGAAUCACGGUGGCUGGA